RNAcentral lists this ribosomal RNA (433 nucleotides) under uncultured bacterium. RNAcentral's name for it is "partial 16S ribosomal RNA". It matches the Rfam family "Bacterial small subunit ribosomal RNA", at positions 29 to 507 of the family's 1533-position model. The record is from RNAcentral.
AACGAACGCUGGCGGCAGGCCUAACACAUGCAAGUCGAGCGAGGACUUCGGUCCUUGCGGCGGACGGGUGAGUAACGCGUGGGAACGUGCCCUUUGCUUCGGAAUAGCCCUGGGAAACUGGGAGUAAUACCGGAUGAGCCCUUUGGGGGAAAGAUUUAUCGGCGAAGGAUCGGCCCGCGUUGGAUUAGGUAGUUGGUGGGGUAAUGGCCUACCAAGCCGACGAUCCAUAGCUGGUUUGAGAGGAUGAUCAGCCACACUGGGACUGAGACACGGCCCAGACUCCUACGGGAGGCAGCAGUGGGGAAUCUUAGACAAUGGGGGAAACCCUGAUCUAGCCAUGCCGCGUGAGCGAUGAAGGCCUUAGGGUUGUAAAGCUCUUUCAGCUGGGAAGAUAAUGACGGUACCAGCAGAAGAAGCCCCGGCUAACUCCGUG